GUGCUCACUUUGGCAGCACAUACACUAAAAUUGGAACAAUACUGAGAAGGUUAGCAUGGCUCCCGCUCAAGGAUGACAUCCAUAAAUGGUGAAGCAUCCUAUAAUUUU
Apodemus sylvaticus (European woodmouse) is the source of this 108-nucleotide small nuclear RNA. Lineage: Eukaryota; Metazoa; Chordata; Mammalia; Rodentia; Muridae. The record is from RefSeq and is a predicted model, not a curated record.